AGAUGAAAGCUAGAGGGUCAGAGGGGGGCAUAGAGAUGAAAGGUAGAGGGUCAGAGGGGGACAUAGAGAUGAAAGGUAGAGGGUCAGAGGGCGGGCAUAGAGAUGAAAGGUAGAGGGUCAGAGGGGGACAUAGAGAUGAAAGGUAGAGGGUCAGAGGGGGGACAUAUGAGAGGUAGAGGGUCAGAGGGGGACACGGAGAUGAAGGCUAGAAGGUCAGAGGGGGACAUAAAGAUGAAAGGUAGAGGGUCAGGAAGGGACAUAGAGAUGAAAGCUAGAGGGUGGGGGGCAUAGAGAUGAAAGGUAGAGGGUCAGACGCGGAUAUAGAGAUGAAAGCUAGAAGGUCAGAAAGAGCCAUAGGGAUGAACGCUAGAGGUUCAGAGGGGGGCAUAGAGAUGAAAGCUAGAAGGUCAGAGGGCGGGCAUAGGGUUGAAAGCUAGAGGGUCAGAGGGGGA
This 452-nucleotide long non-coding RNA is filed under the name Heterocephalus glaber (naked mole-rat). RNAcentral's name for it is "lncRNA (ENSHGLG00100043009.1)". Lineage: Eukaryota; Metazoa; Chordata; Mammalia; Rodentia; Bathyergidae. The record is from RNAcentral.